Molecule: long non-coding RNA, 3600 nt
Filed under: Sorghum bicolor (sorghum)
Lineage: Eukaryota; Viridiplantae; Streptophyta; Magnoliopsida; Poales; Poaceae
Description: long non-coding RNA (SBIC_LNC003781)
Source: RNAcentral
GCUGGCCGACGACGCAACGAUUUUCAUCUCUGCCCCGCUCCCUUCUGCAGCCUCCGCACAAACCAACGCCCACGCUCACCUCCCCUCCGUGGCAAAGAAAAAACUUCUCCCACGUCUCCGAGGAAACCGCCUCUCUCUGAAUCGCGCCGCCAAGCAGAGCCUGCGUGGCAUCCCGGCGAUGUUGGCGCAGGCGGUCCGUGCUCUCACCCUCUCAUCUCGGCGGCGCAGGCGGUCCGUGCUCUCACCCUCUCAUCUCGGCGGCGCAGGCGGUUCGUGCAGGAUUUGAAUGGGGAGGGGGAGGUUGCAGCCGCGGCAAAGGCGAGUGCGUUGCGACCGACGAGCACUGGAUUGGGAGGUGUCGAGGUGAGGUCGCCGGAUUUCAUCAUAUUUCUCGUGCUUUCGUUCCGUUCCGUGCUUGCCCCCACAAUUUUAAAGCAGAAAGUACUGGAGCCUGGAAGUAGGUUUUCAAGUGGGUGGGGGCACCGGCGACGAAGACGAUGAGGGCGUCGACACCAAUGUCGCGCGGCGCAGCCUACAUCUGUGCAGCCAUGUCGACAAGCUCCUUAUCCUCCAGCUUUCUUCUCGUCCUCUUCUUGCUGCAGAUCUCUCCAUAUCCCUCUAUUUCUAUCUAGCAUUAUGUUGUAUGCAGGAUUUGGCCGCCGUCUGGUUUCGUUCUUGAUUCUACCGAAGGCUAGCUAACGCAGCCGAUCCUGUGAAGCCAAUCCUCCGUUGUAGCAUUUGCAUUUAGAAUAAAGCUUAAAUACACUAUGCCUCAUAGUCUCAUACUAAUUUUGGUAAAAAAAAUACAAAACCUAUGGCAAAGGCAGUCUAACUCAUUAGAGUGCAUGAACCAAUAAAUUCAGUUUGAUGAAUGCUUCAGUGUUAUACUAUUACAGUAAUAAUUGAUUUUAACUUCAAACAAUGUAUAGGCAGUCAUCACACCAUAAUUGUUAUUUAAAUUCUUGUCUGCAAUCUGGUAGUGUGAAACUGUCACACCUAUGGCCAUAAAUUAUGGAGUACUCCUUGGUUUCAAUAUUGGUAUCAAGUUAGCUUCUUUGUUCUUAUAAAAAACGAGUUACACUGCCUUGGCUCCUCGCCACUCUGUGUUUUGGUACCCAAGUCUACUUUACAUAUUUGGUAAAUAUGUGCAUCAGAAGCAAAGCAUAUGGUCCUUGUGCAAAGCUAAAGUUCUUGUGCAUUAUUAUUCAUGAUUCAGGACAAUGCUAUAUUAUCUAUAAAGUCAGCCAACUUUAUUUUUCUUUCAGAUUUUACUUCAAUCUGGUCAAUUAAAAGAUAAUAUUCAUGUAAUACCAUAAAAAUCUGUAUUUCCUUGUUCAAAGUUUUCAUUGUGCUUCGGCGCUUUAACACUACAUAGCAUUGAAAACUAGCCCCAUCUGUAAAAUGUAAAGAGAAACAGUACCUUAGUGUAAAAAAUAAAGAAAAACAGAGAUGCCAACACUAAACUUUGACACCUGAACAGCAUGCCCUAUGUAUAUAUCUCUUCAGUUGUUGAUGAAAUAUGAUGAUGCAUGCUGAAGUGCCCAUUAUUCCCCAUGUGAUGCAGGCACCAAUCAGGAUCAACUUCGGUGUUCAAAGACGAUGCAGGUCCAACCAUCUAAUCAAAACUCAGUUUUUGCAGGUCCAGUGGGACAACAUUUGCCCGUUAUCUGGUAUAUACCUGUUGCACUAUGAUCCCUGUUUUAUGAGCAAACAGUAUCUACCCAAUGGAAAUUGGAAUUUUUGGGAAUAGUAUAGUACAAAAGUCGUGCCAGUGCUUGUGAAUAUUUACUUUGAUUUUUCUUACAAUUAGUUUAGCUCUAAAAUUUUAUGUGGGCACAUCUACCUUUUCUAUUAUUUUUGGGAAAUUCCUCUGUUUAUCUCCAUCGAUCAGUCCAUCCAUCCAUCUACCUUUAAAAGGAGAGUUUUUCAGCAUUAUCAUCCUGUUUGGUCUAUUCCCUCCCCUCACUUUCUCUUCUCAUGGUUCUAUUCCAACAAAGAACAGAUGAGUCUUAGAAGUUGUUACAAGUGGUCGUGCACUGUCAUGUAGACUUUACUGUGUUUCUCAGGGACCAUAUGCCCUGUACAUCAAUAUCUUUCAGUUCAUUGUGUUACUAUUUUGCAGGCCAUCGAUCAGAACAGAGAGCUUUCUAAAAAAAACCAUAUUGUUGAUCUCUGGACUUUUUUUGUUAUUUUAGUGUGGGUUGAUUUAUUGAUUAUUUUUUUGCUGGGUGUAAUGGCCUAAUACCGAUAUGGACUAUUUGGUUUACAACCCAUCCAAGCAGGUUUUUGACAGUUUUUAGAAGUUCUAUGGUUCAUAACGAAAAUUAAUCUCUCUUUUGGUUUGAUUUGCAUUCUUGUUCUUGUAUGAUCUUAUUGUGUUAAAAAAAUUUUAGCUUCAUGGGCACAGGCUUAAUUAUGCUUUGAACAAAUACUUUUAAGGUCAUAUAUGUCACUGAUAUACAGUUAUUUACAAACAAAUAAAUGAAUUGCACAUGGAUGGGUUAGAACUUAGAAUGUGGCAUUGGCUUGCUGUGAAACGGAAAAAUAUUUACACAAAUAUAAAAAAUGAUUAUGACAAGAGAAGCAGCUGGACUACUUGGGCCAGCACGAGCUAGCGUGAAUGAGCAGGCGGAAGGAAAUUAUUAUAUAUAAUAAAAAAUAAAAAAAGUUAUGAUGAGGAAAAUAUGACAAAUAAAUAUGAAAAAUAUUAUGUUCGGUAUGUUUGGGGAAUUAGUCAAGUAUAAUUACAUCCUUUCGCAUAAUUAGAGUCCUAGACGUACCUACUAUGUUUAGGAUAUCAAAUAUGUACCUGUUACUGUCAUGAGCUACAAAACCUAUUAUUGUUGUCAUAAUUGAUGUUUUCGCUGCAAAGAAAACUGGUAAGAAAAAGUAGAAGAAAAACUAAUAUGUUUCUUUGGACUGACCAUGUUCCUCGUCUCUAUAUGCAGGUUGGCACCUUGACAAGGUUGUUGGGUAUUCUUAACAUCAUUAUCAAAAGUAGACUAAGUUGUCUAAAUCUAGUAACGGUGCAAAAAAUGUCAAACCUAUCCCUCACACCACUUAAGCCAAGUUGUCAUCCCCAGCAUGAUAUAAGAGACGCGGUAUUGAAAUAUGCAAUUGCUCUUUUAAAUAAAUAAUGAAUGGGAUCUGUAAGCGCACAGAUUAAUACCGAUGUAGCAUUUUAACCGGGAAGUAUUCCAGGUAUCGUUAUUUAUAUUUUUACCACUGGGAAGGGAUUAACAAUCAUCAAUAUUGAUUACAGAAUAAAAUAUGAGAUUGAGUAUCUAUCAUUGCAUGUAUAAUUGAGAACAUUAUAUCUAACUCUUCAUACAGGGAUAAGUGUCACAUAAUGGAUAUAUGAAGUAAUGAAUAGUGACAAAGAUAAUUAGUCUGAUCUAGCCACAUAAUAAAUAUGAUAAGCACCUCAAUUAGAUACUCUAGAAAGUCAUUAGCAUGGAAUUAGAACGAACUACAAGAAUAUUUCAUAAGUUAUUCUCAACUAUAUAGUCUAGCAUUGUCAUAAUUAGUGCAAGCAUACUUAGCAAUCAUUGUGAGACAAGACUACGCCCAUGCAUAGUGAUAUUAGCAAGGUAAAUGAGA